AGAGCAGGGUUCAUUGCAACAUCCUCCACAUUUGGAGUGAGGCUUGAACGCUUCAAUCUCCCUCUGAUAACACUGUCCAGGAAAUGACAAAGCCUUUGCAAAACCAGCGCAAUGGAUCUUGGCUGGGUGAACCUCGGGUUGUUGCACAGAUUUUUUUUCUGUGGCUUUGCUGAAUCACAGCAAAACCCCACAACAUCCCACCACGGCUCUUCUCACCUCUCUGACACUUCUGCCACCACCUUUUCCACUGCAGCAGAUCCCAAGGCUCAGUUACACCCAGGUUUUCCCCACACUGGAGGAAUCUGAUUUUGAUGUCGCUGCUUCCAAGUUUAUUAAGUGACAGCCCGCUGGUUUUAGAAAGAAGCUCCCCCCAAAACGCAGUCCUUUUACCCGUGGGCUGCUGGCUGCUAUUUCUGCAGUGACCUCCAUAGCGUAAAGCUUUCUCCUGCAGCCAAACUCAUACUCAUCCAUCCCCUCUGUUUCUGCAGUCCUCUGCCUACCAAGGCAGAGAAAUCUGCUGCACGGCUUUGGGGUGGGCUGCCAGCUCCUUUUGUACCCACUGUCCUAAGUGCAAGCACUGAGUACAGACUUCUCUGCACUGAGCUGGAGAAAGAAAACACUGGUGUUCUUCCAGAGGACUGGUGGCAAGGAAGAAGGGAUGCUGUGAUGCUGUGCAUCAGUGCACUGGGCUGCUGGACGUGUCCAAAGUGCUGAAGGUGAUCCCAACAUCAGCCCUGUUUGGGGAGAUCUCCAUGCUGGAGGCAUCAGCACAGCCACCGGGAGCACUCAGAAAAAUGCUGCACACAAAAAUGUGCCCUCCUCAGCAGCUGGGAGCAGCGACGGAGCCUCGUGGCUCAUGGAAAUACCCUGCCCUGCACAUCUGUGUUUAGGCAGCGUGAUUCAGCAGCCCUGGAUGUCACCCAUCCCAUCGGCCUUGUAUCUCUGAGCAUCUCCAGGGGCACGUCACACAGCUCAGGUCUUCUCUGCAGCAACCAUGACCACGGUGGAGAUACAUGCAUCCCUCCAUGGCCGUCCCUGGGCUCUGCCUGCAGUGGGAUCCCACUCCUCCUCCUCUGCCCUCUGGAAGGCAUUCACUGGUUCCUCCACAGUCUCAGUCCUUCCUGAUGAGCUCAGUGACACACCACCCACCUGCCACCAGAAAGGUUUUUAAAGCCAGUAGAAAGAACUGACCCAGCACGGAGCUCUUGGGAAAAGGCUUUGGGCUUCUCUUGGUUGCCAGAGAGCUGCAUCCUGCGCAAGAAACCUGAGAAGCUCCAGCUUUGCAAUGACUCUGCUGUGCGCUUGAGCUCCCGUGGAACCGUGAUCAAACCUUUGACAGGGAAGGCAGACCUUUCUGGUAGCUGUGGUAGAAGUGACAGCUUUGGCUGAUGCAAGAGCACGGGGAGUUCGUUAUCCCCAAAACAAUCUGAUGUGCUGGAAAACUGCUAAGUGUGGGGGGAGGACCUCCAGGAUCGGGUCAGUGUCAGUGUCCCUGUGCUGAGCACCUUGAGGACCUGUGUGGCUGCUGCUGCUGCAGGCAUGGCCGGGCACUGAGUCAUGGUUUGCUCCUUGCUCCUGACGAUU
This 1584-nucleotide long non-coding RNA is filed under the name Numida meleagris (helmeted guineafowl). RNAcentral describes it as "lncRNA (ENSNMEG00000015375.1)". Lineage: Eukaryota; Metazoa; Chordata; Aves; Galliformes; Numididae. The record is from RNAcentral.